GGAGGGAUGCCGGAGCGGUCGAACGGGGCGGUCUCGAAAACCGUUGAGCCCUUCUGGGGCUCCGGGGGUUCGAAUCCCUCUCCCUCCGCCA
RNAcentral lists this transfer RNA (91 nucleotides) under Bacteroidota bacterium. RNAcentral describes it as "Bacteroidetes bacterium (microbial mat metagenome) tRNA-Ser". It matches the Rfam family "tRNA". Rfam says of the family: Transfer RNA (tRNA) molecules are approximately 80 nucleotides in length. Their secondary structure includes four short double-helical elements and three loops (D, anti-codon, and T loops). Further hydrogen bonds mediate the characteristic L-shaped molecular structure. tRNAs have two regions of fundamental functional importance: the anti-codon, which is responsible for specific mRNA codon recognition, and the 3' end, to which the tRNAs corresponding amino acid is attached (by aminoacyl-tRNA synthetases). tRNAs cope with the degeneracy of the genetic code in two manners: having more than one tRNA (with a specific anti-codon) for a particular amino acid; and 'wobble' base-pairing, i.e. permitting non-standard base-pairing at the 3rd anti-codon position. The record is from RNAcentral. Lineage: Bacteria; Pseudomonadati; Bacteroidota.